This 801-nucleotide ribosomal RNA is filed under the name uncultured Actinomycetes bacterium. RNAcentral describes it as "bacterial SSU rRNA". It matches the Rfam family "Bacterial small subunit ribosomal RNA", at positions 70 to 883 of the family's 1533-position model. Lineage: Bacteria; Bacillati; Actinomycetota; Actinomycetes. The record is from RNAcentral.
AAAGGCCUGCAGCUUGCUGCGGGUACUCGAGUGGCGAACGGGUGAGUAACACGUGGGUGAUCUGCCUUGCACUUCGGGAUAAGCUUGGGAAACUGGGUCUAAUACCGGAUAGGACAGCUGUUUAGUGUCAGUUGUGGAAAGUUUUUUCGGUGCAAGAUGAGCUCGCGGCCUAUCAGCUUGUUGGUGGGGUAAUGGCCUACCAAGGCGUCGACGGGUAGCCGGCCUGAGAGGGUGUACGGCCACAUUGGGACUGAGAUACGGCCCAGACUCCUACGGGAGGCAGCAGUGGGGAAUAUUGCACAAUGGGCGGAAGCCUGAUGCAGCGACGCCGCGUGGGGGAUGAAGGCCUUCGGGUUGUAAACUCCUUUCGACAGGGACGAAGCGUAAGUGACGGUACCUGUAUAAGAAGCACCGGCUAACUACGUGCCAGCAGCCGCGGUAAUACGUAGGGUGCGAGCGUUGUCCGGAAUUACUGGGCGUAAAGAGCUCGUAGGUGGUUUGUCGCGUCGUCUGUGAAAUUCCGGGGCUUAACUCCGGGCGUGCAGGCGAUACGGGCUGACUUGAGUGCUGUAGGGGAGACUGGAAUUCCAUGUGUAGCGGUGAAAUGCGCAGAGAUAUGGAGGAACACCGAUGGCGAAGGCAGGUCUCUGGGCAGUAACUGACGCUGAGGAGCGAAAGCAUGGGUAGCGAACAGGAUUAGAUACCCUGGUAGUCCAUGCCGUAAACGGUGGGCGCUAGGUGUAGGGGGCUUCCACGUCUUCUGUGCCGUAGCUAACGCAUAAGCGCCCCGCCUGGGGAUAC